This 301-nucleotide ribosomal RNA is filed under the name uncultured bacterium. RNAcentral describes it as "partial 16S ribosomal RNA". It matches the Rfam family "Bacterial small subunit ribosomal RNA", at positions 509 to 807 of the family's 1533-position model. The record is from RNAcentral.
CAGCCGCCGCGGGAAAACGUAGGGUGCAAGCGUUAAUCGGAAUUACUGGGCGUAAAGCGUGCGCAGGCGGUUAUAUAAGACAGAUGUGAAAUCCCCGGGCUCAACCUGGGAACUGCAUUUGUGACUGUAUAGCUAGAGUACGGCAGAGGGGGAUGGAAUUCCGCGUGUAGCAGUGAAAUGCGUAGAUAUGCGGAGGAACACCGAUGGCGAAGGCAAUCCCCUGGGCCUGUACUGACGCUCAUGCACGAAAGCGUGGGGAGCAAACAGGAUUAGAGACCCCCGUAGUCCCUGUCUCUUAUAC